GUCAGUAUCUGGACCUUGAGCUCCGCUUACUAUGCUAUGCUGUGAUUGACAUCUACAAGCAACAAGAACUUUGUCAAUGUCUCAACAUACGUAUAUGGAUGUAACAGUGUAACCAGAACUGCUUACAGACGUUGCACUGUCUGACACUGUCUGAUGAUGUGUUUUCCUGACAGGGACGAGUUCUAACAAUGCAGUGAGAUAUGAAAAACAUCUCAAGAACCUGGGAUAAAAUCAGCGUGACCUCAGCUUCAGCACAUGACCCAAACCAUCACCUCAUCAAUCAUCAGCCUAGUCCUGUUCUACUGUCUGUCCUCCACCACACCUGAAACCGGAUCAGAUCUGACCCUGUGACCAAAAAAAACAGCUGCUACCUCCUCUUUACAAAGCCCCACGAUGCAGCCUCGCCUCACUCCGGAAGAACUCUGGGAGACCAAAGAAAACAACCAAAAAAUAAAGCAUCUUUGUGUCUUCAUCUGGUCUGUUCAAAAAGAAAUAGAAAGUGUGGAUCAUCAAGCUGGUGACUGAAGGUAGAGUGAACACCAAAGCUGUUCAUCAUGUUUCUGUAAAAUGAAAACGCAAUCCCUUUUUCAU
Long non-coding RNA from Thalassophryne amazonica, 591 nucleotides. RefSeq lists it as uncharacterized. The transcript is spliced from 2 exons. Lineage: Eukaryota; Metazoa; Chordata; Actinopteri; Batrachoidiformes; Batrachoididae. The record is from RefSeq and is a predicted model, not a curated record.